Molecule: long non-coding RNA, 204 nt
Organism: Agrilus planipennis (emerald ash borer)
Lineage: Eukaryota; Metazoa; Arthropoda; Insecta; Coleoptera; Buprestidae
Exons: 2
Source: RefSeq, a predicted model, not a curated record
GGUGUCAACGAAUUGUUGAUUAGUUUAAUAGAAGCUGUUGAAGUAUUUUCCGAGCACCAAAAGGUGGAAAUUAGAGAGGAGGACGAGAGGGCAGCAAGAGAACUUGUUAAAUGGGAACAAGAUCAGGCAUAUAGGGAAAGUCUUGAAGCUGAUAGAGCGAAAGAAGAAGCGAAAAGACUUCAGGAAGAAGCCGAGAAACAGAAA